GAUCCUGGCUCAGGAUGAACGCUAGCUACAGGCUUAACACAUGCAAGUCGAGGGGCAGCAUGAACUUAGCUUGCUAAGUUUGAUGGCGACCGGCGCACGGGUGAGUAACACGUAUCCAACCUUCCGUUUACUCAGGGAUAGCCUUUCGAAAGAAAGAUUAAUACCUGAUAGUAUGGUGAGAUUGCAUGAUAGCACCAUUAAAGAUUUAUUGGUAACGA
Molecule: ribosomal RNA, 218 nt
Filed under: uncultured bacterium
Lineage: Bacteria
Description: partial 16S ribosomal RNA
Rfam family: Bacterial small subunit ribosomal RNA
Source: RNAcentral